UGACCAAAAAAUGACUUACAAAGACAUGGAAAGAAUUCAAAAAUGGACAAAAUAGCCCAAGACUCCAUAGAGUUAAAUUGUUAACCCAUUUCUUGUUCCCUGAAAAAGGCCUACUUGCAUAAUUCUGAAAUGUACAUUAUUUUUCAGUUUUGGUUAAGCUUACCUUUUUUUAUUUACCUCUGGCAGUUCACCACUUACCUUUGGACCCUUUCAAGCUGUUCAUUUGACUUGAACUGCUUGAAUUUCAAUAAAAAACUGGAAAAAUGGGGGUGUUCUAAAACUUUUGACCGGUAGUGUAUAUCCAUUACACACAGAAUGAAACAUUUAAUGUCUUUAUUUAAUUUCUUCUAAUUAUGGCUUACAUUUAUUGAAGACCUAAAAUACAGUGUCUCAAAAAAUUUGAAUAUUACAAAAGACCAAUUUUAAAAAAGUUUUGUUUCUGUCGCUUCUGCUUUGCAAGAAAAGGUUUAAUAAAAACAUGUUUUCUCUUUUUUCAGCCAACAGUGGCUCUUUUGUUUGUCAUUUUAGCCCUACAAUGAAGAUAAAACAGCCUACUAAAUCUAAAUUAGUCUACUAGCAUUACAAAUAGGUCAUUAUAAGCAUUUUAUAAAGUAUGUUUAAUAUGGAAAUGUUGUCCUCUGAAAAGUAUGUCCAUCUAUAUGACUAAAUACUUGGUUGGGGCUAUUUGACUUGAACUACUGGAAAUGGACUUUUCCAUCAUAUUCUAAUGUAUUGAGAUGCACCUUUAGUGUCUUUGUUACCUCUUUGUUGUUGAUGUGUAAUAGUUUGGUGCAUGUUUACUUUUUAAAAACCUGAACUGUAGAUAAACUCCAGUUUCUGUUACAUGUGCCAUGUUUCCCCUUUUCUUUUGUUAAAAGGAUGGAUGGUACAAUGUAUCCAGACUUGACAAAUGAAAUAAAUGAGGUUAAGUCUA
Molecule: long non-coding RNA, 934 nt
Organism: Centropristis striata (black sea bass)
Lineage: Eukaryota; Metazoa; Chordata; Actinopteri; Perciformes; Serranidae
Exons: 2
Source: RefSeq, a predicted model, not a curated record